This 115-nucleotide small nuclear RNA is filed under the name Leptobrachium leishanense (Leishan spiny toad). RNAcentral describes it as "U5 spliceosomal RNA (ENSLLEG00000002519.1)". It matches the Rfam family "U5 spliceosomal RNA". Rfam says of the family: U5 RNA is a component of both types of known spliceosome. The precise function of this molecule is unknown, though it is known that the 5' loop is required for splice site selection and p220 binding, and that both the 3' stem-loop and the Sm site are important for Sm protein binding and cap methylation. The record is from Rfam by way of RNAcentral. Lineage: Eukaryota; Metazoa; Chordata; Amphibia; Anura; Megophryidae.
AUUCUCUGGUUUCUAUUCAGACCGUAAAAAUAUUUUGCCUUUUACUAAAGAUUUCCGUGGAGAGGAACAACCAAGAGGUUGAUGGAAUUUUUGGAUGCCUGACUGUGGUCAGGCA